GAUGAACGCUAGCGACAGGCCUAACACAUGCAAGUCGAGGGGCAGCACAUGAGUAGCAAUACGAUGGUGGCGACCGGCGCACGGGUGAGUAACACGUAUGCAACCUACCUGUAAGAGGGGAAUAACCCGGAGAAAUUCGGACUAACACCGCAUAAUACCUCGAAGCUGCAUGGCUUUGAGGUUAAAUAUUUAUAGCUUACAGAUGGGCAUGCGUAACAUUAGAUAGUUGGUGAGGUAAUGGCUCACCAAGGCGACGACGGGUAGCCGGCCUGAGAGGGCGACCGGCCACACUGGGACUGAGACACGGCCCAGACUCCUACGGGAGGCAGCAGUGGGGAAUAUUGGACAAUGGGCGCAAGCCUGAUCCAGCAAUGCCGCGUGUGUGAAGAAGGUCUUCGGAUCGUAAAGCACUUUCGACAGGGACGAUGAUGACGGUACCUGUAGAAGAAGCCCCGGCUAACUUCGUG
This 467-nucleotide ribosomal RNA is filed under the name uncultured bacterium. RNAcentral's name for it is "bacterial SSU rRNA". It matches the Rfam family "Bacterial small subunit ribosomal RNA", at positions 28 to 507 of the family's 1533-position model. The record is from RNAcentral.